GGACAGUGCCUGGUGGGUAGUUUGACUGGGGCGGUCUCCUCCCAAAGAGUAACGGAGGAGCACGAAGGUGGGCUAAUCACGGUUGGACAUCGUGAGGUUAGUGCAAUGGCAUAAGCCCGCUUAACUGCGAGAAUGACGGUUCGAGCAGGUGCGAAAGCAGGUCAUAGUGAUCCGGUGGUUCUGAAUGGAAGGGCCAUCGCUCAACGGAUAAAAGGUACUCCGGGGAUAACAGGCUGAUACCGCCCAAGAGUUCAUAUCGACGGCGGUGUUUGGCACCUCGAUGUCGGCUCAUCACAUCCUGGGGCUGAAGUCGGUCCCAAGGGUAUGGCUGUUCGCCAUUUAAAGUGGUACGCGAGCUGGGUUUAGAACGUCGUGAGACAGUUCGGUCCCUAUCUGCCGUGGGCGUUGGAAGAUUGAAGGGGGCUGCUCCUAGUACGAGAGGACCGGAGUGGACGAACCUCUGGUGUUCGGGUUGUGUCGCCAGACGCAUUGCCCGGUAGCUAAGUUCGGAAUCGAUAACCGCUGAAAGCAUCUAAGCGGGAAGCGAGCCCUGAGAUGAGUCUUCCCUGACAGUUUAACUGUCCUAAAGGGUUGUUCGAGACUAGAACGUUGAUAGGCAGGGUGUGUAAGCGCUGUGAGGCGUUGAGCUAACCUGUACUAAUUGCCCGUGAGGCUUAACCAUACAACACCCAAAGGGUUUUG
RNAcentral lists this ribosomal RNA (702 nucleotides) under Vibrio navarrensis. Its description in RNAcentral is "partial 23S ribosomal RNA". It matches the Rfam family "Bacterial large subunit ribosomal RNA", at positions 2249 to 2925 of the family's 2925-position model. The record is from RNAcentral. Lineage: Bacteria; Pseudomonadati; Pseudomonadota; Gammaproteobacteria; Vibrionales; Vibrionaceae.